Molecule: ribosomal RNA, 462 nt
Filed under: uncultured bacterium
Lineage: Bacteria
Description: partial 16S ribosomal RNA
Rfam family: Bacterial small subunit ribosomal RNA
Source: RNAcentral
GACGAACGCUGGCGGCGUGCUUAACACAUGCAAGUCGAACGGAAAGGCCCUUCGGGGUACUCGAGUGGCGAACGGGUGAGUAACACGUGGGUGAUCUGCCCUGCACUUUGGGAUAAGCCUGGGAAACUGGGUCUAAUACCGGAUAGGACCACGGCAUUCAUGUGCUGUGGUGGAAAGCUUUUGCGGUGUGGGAUGGGCCCGCGGCCUAUCAGCUUGUUGGUGGGGUAAUGGCCUACCAAGGCGACGACGGGUAGCCGGCCUGAGAGGGUGACCGGCCACACUGGGACUGAGAUACGGCCCAGACUCCUACGGGAGGCAGCAGUGGGGAAUAUUGCACAAUGGGCGCAAGCCUGAUGCAGCGACGCCGCGUGAGGGAUGGCGGCCUUCGGGUUGUAAACCUCUUUCGCCAGGGACGAAGCGCAAGUGACGGUACCUGGAGAAGAAGGACCGGCCAACUACGUG